UGAACAUGCCUGAUCUCAUCUGGUCUCGGAAGCUAAGCA
Castor canadensis (American beaver) is the source of this 39-nucleotide ribosomal RNA. Lineage: Eukaryota; Metazoa; Chordata; Mammalia; Rodentia; Castoridae. The record is from Ensembl.